Molecule: transfer RNA, 81 nt
Organism: Dichomitus squalens LYAD-421 SS1
Lineage: Eukaryota; Fungi; Basidiomycota; Agaricomycetes; Polyporales; Polyporaceae
Rfam family: tRNA
About the family: Transfer RNA (tRNA) molecules are approximately 80 nucleotides in length. Their secondary structure includes four short double-helical elements and three loops (D, anti-codon, and T loops).
Source: Rfam
GGCCGACUGGCCUAAUGGUUAAGGCGUCAGUUUCCGGUAGGGAUAAGCUGAAGAUUCUGGGUUCGAAUCCCAGGUUGGUCG